RNAcentral lists this long non-coding RNA (926 nucleotides) under Dermacentor andersoni. RNAcentral's name for it is "uncharacterized LOC126526175". The record is from RNAcentral. Lineage: Eukaryota; Metazoa; Arthropoda; Arachnida; Ixodida; Ixodidae.
GUCUCACCGGGUCACUGCCUGUGCCAACAUCCAUGUAUCCACAGGCUCAUUGCAUGUGGAUGCAUAGGUGUUGGUACACCUCAGUCACAAACAUUUCAUUCCCUGGCAAUGCUGCUGAGCCACACCACUGCUGUGUGAAUAAUGUGUCUCUCUCGGGUGUGUGUUCUGGUUGGGAACUCGAGAGGCCUCCCUCGUUACGGUGGCAGCACGGCACUAGGAUGCGAUAGCUGCUGUCACCCGUAACUCGGGUUCCUCGCUCCUCGAAUUCCCAACAGUGUCUGUGUUCUGCAGUCUCUCACCGGGCCACUGCCUGCGCCAGCAUCCGUGUAUCCACAGGCUCAUUGCAUGCGGUUGCACAGGUGCUGGUACAGCCCAGUCGCAAAUAUUUUGUUUUAGGAUCAGGCUGCAGAAUCAUUCCAUGCUGCAAAAGAGAAGUUCCUCCAUUGUCUGACCCUUGCAUGAAUGUUUCAUGUGUAUUGGUUAUUCUUUGUUGUGUGUUUGUUCUUUGCUUGCUUUCUUGUUUGUGUUUUGCUUUCCUUAUGUUGCAGGCUCAAGUAGACGGAAUCCUGGAGUUGCUGCUCAAUUGACCGAAUCUUUUGCAUAUCCUUUGGUUUUUGUCGGCUUUACAACUGUUGUGUUGGUGCUGUCUUACUCGCACGUACUUCCUUCGAUGAAACGGCUGGAAAACCAGACCAUUGCAGCGGCACUCUCGGCAGCACCUGCCUGCUAGAGAGCGCGGUCCCCAGGUGGCGGAUGGGGGACCUGCUAUUGCGCAUUACUGCAACAGCAGUGGUGCUUGCACCUCGCGGACCAACAGGCCUUUCUUUUCUUCCCAGAUUCCUUUAGGUAGCCCAGCUGAACUUUGGGUUGCAGAACCAGCGUAAAUUGCGGAGCUGAAUAAACCUGCUGCAGUCGUGUUCCCUGAA